UAUGGUUCAAUGCACUUACUUUGAUUUGAGUCCAUGGUUACAGAAAUCGAUUGAGUUUUUGUUUGGUUUGUUUGGAAUGGGUUUUUGGCAGCUGAUGGGACAAUUGAUAUGCGGUAAAUGUGCGCAUGCGCGUCGAGAACCAAUCAUUGCAGGGGUUCAGGACCGUAAUCCGUAAUUGAUAUAAUUGUUAGGGUUUCGCCGGAGGCUGUGGUCGACAUUCGGAUUUGUGAGCAAAUAAAUAAUAAUUGGUCUUGAGAACAUACAAGAAACUCAGACCAAUAAUGAAUUUUAUUGUAGAUUAGGGACUGAGUGGAUACUGGUGUCAACAACAAAUUUAAUGCAUAAUAAUAUCAAUUCAUGAUUCAUUGUAUGGACUGCAAUAAUCAGUGAUAAAUUUGGAGGACAGAUGUAAAUAAAUAAAAUAACGAUUGUUUAAUAGCAUUUAAGCUUACAGAGUCACGAUAUCCAAGUGUAUAACAAAAGACACAUGUAACGACUGCAACCAACAAUAUAAGUCAUUCAAGAA
Long non-coding RNA from Zophobas morio, 526 nucleotides. RefSeq lists it as uncharacterized. NCBI's taxonomy places the organism in Eukaryota, Metazoa, Arthropoda, Insecta, Coleoptera, Tenebrionidae. The transcript has 2 exons. The record is from RefSeq and is a predicted model, not a curated record.